Molecule: ribosomal RNA, 308 nt
Filed under: Escherichia coli
Lineage: Bacteria; Pseudomonadati; Pseudomonadota; Gammaproteobacteria; Enterobacterales; Enterobacteriaceae
Description: partial 16S ribosomal RNA
Rfam family: Bacterial small subunit ribosomal RNA
Source: RNAcentral
UUAAAUUGAAGAGUUUGAUCAUGGCUCAGAUUGAACGCUGGCGGCAGGCCUAACACAUGCAAGUCGAACGGUAACAGGAAGCAGCUUGCUGCUUUGCUGACGAGUGGCGGACGGGUGAGUAAUGUCUGGGAAACUGCCUGAUGGAGGGGGAUAACUACUGGAAACGGUAGCUAAUACCGCAUAACGUCGCAAGACCAAAGAGGGGGACCUUAGGGCCUCUUGCCAUCGGAUGUGCCCAGAUGGGAUUAGCUAGUAGGUGGGGUAACGGCUCACCUAGGCGACGAUCCCUAGCUGGUCUGAGAGGAUGA